UUAAGACUCUGCCUUGCAAUGCAGGGGACCUGGGUUUGAUCCCUGAUCAGGGAACUAAGAUCCCACGUGCCUUGGAGCAACUGAGUGCCUGAGCCACAGCUGGACUCCAUGUGCCACAGUAAAAGAUCCCAGGAGUUAUGAACAGAAGAUAUUCAAGGUUUUAAAAGAACCACUCAAGAAGAUCUGAAACUACAUUCUGCAUGUCUUCUGAGAUCAACUCUGCAGGAUGCAAAUAAAAUGACAAAUCUCGAUUGAGGAAAUCAGCGAUAAACACACAAGGGAGAUUUGACAGACAGAAGAGGAAGAGGCAAUAUGAAGAUGGUUCAAAAAUAAGAAUGAUGUGGCUGCCAGCUAAGGAAAACAUGGAUUCUGAAAAACACAAUAAGCUGGACAAGGCAAGAAGUAUUCUCUCACAGUGCUUCCAGAGGGAGCAUGCUCCUGCUGUAAACUUAACUUUGGACUUGGCCUCCAAAGCUAUGAGAGUAUGCAAUUAUUUUGCUUUAAUCCAUCAAAUUGGUGACAGUUUGUUGUAGCAUCCAUAAGAAAGUAAUACAGAUUUUGGUCCUGGGAAGUGGAUGUUGCUGUAGGAAAAUGCCUAAAAGCAUGGAAGAGGUUUUAAAACGAGAUAAUGGAUAGAGGCUGGGAGAAUUUUGAGGUGCAUGAUGGAAAAAGCCUGGAUUCUAGUGAGUGCUCAGAAUGAAGUGAGGAGUAUGAAUAAGAACAAUUCUGUCAUCUUAGAGAAUAUAUAUAUAUGUAUAUAUAUAUGUGUGUGUAUAUAUAUAUAUAUAUAUAUAUAUAUAUAUAUAUAUAGAGAGAGAGAGAGAGAGAGAGUCAUGAGCAGUGUGUUGAUAGAAAUAUGAAUGUUAUGGGUGUUUCCUGUGAGGAUUCAGAAGACAGUGAAGAACAUUUUAUUCUAAAAUAGAGCAAGCAUGAUUCUUGUUGUAUAGGCUGAAAAUAGACCUUAUAAGUAAAGGCCUCAGGUAUUUAGCUGAGGAGAUUUCCAAGUCAACAGUUGAAUAUGUGGCCUGGAUUCUUUUUUCUGAUUAUAGUACAAUGCAAGAGAUAAAUUAAGGAAGGAACUGUGAAGGCAAGAGAAACCAGCACUUGAUGUUUUGAGAAGUUUGCAAACUAGGACACAGAUAGCAGGAGAUUCAAACUCAUGUGGUUUACAGAACUACAGUAUCGACUGGGAAACCCAAGAUUUUUCCUGUCUUAUAGUUAUGUUUUUGAUUUUAUAGUAUCUACUGUUAAAGCCCGAACAGGCAAGUUUUCUCAACCUCUUUUCUCCUGUUUUUCUCAAUGACAGAAAUAAAAGUAACUCACAGUUGA
Long non-coding RNA from Bubalus bubalis (water buffalo), 1329 nucleotides. RefSeq lists it as uncharacterized. NCBI's taxonomy places the organism in Eukaryota, Metazoa, Chordata, Mammalia, Artiodactyla, Bovidae. The transcript is spliced from 3 exons. The record is from RefSeq and is a predicted model, not a curated record.